This 747-nucleotide non-coding RNA is filed under the name Tropidocephala brunnipennis. The record is from RNAcentral. Lineage: Eukaryota; Metazoa; Arthropoda; Insecta; Hemiptera; Delphacidae.
AGAAGAUAUAUUUGAUCAAGUUAUGGAUAAAGGCUAUUAAGUGAAAAUAGAUGUAAAAAUUUAAAUAGGGGAUUCGUUUAAAAAACAGAUUUUUGUAUUUUCAGUGUAAAGAAUUAUUAAAAUUAUUGGGGGUAAUUUUAGUUAAUUUAGGAUUCAUUGAGGAGAAGAAAAAUGUGCCAGCAUUCGCGGUUAUACAUUGUCCUUGAGUGUUUAAUAUUAAAAGGAAGAAUAGUGUUAAUUAAUUGAUUUAUUUUAAUGGGGGUGAAAUAAAUUAAUAUAGAAUUAGACAUGAGUUCUUUAAAAUUUUGAUAAGAAACUAGGAUUAGAUACCCUAUUAUUCAAAAUUAAACUUUUACUUUUUAUUAUUUUAGUAACAUAAAAAAUUAAAUUGAUUUGGCGGUUUAUUAAACUUUUUAGAGGAAUCUGUGUAUUAAAUUGAUAAACCACGAUUAAUAAUAUCUUAAUUUUCUUGUAUAUCUCUAUAAUUUGAAUAUAUUUUAAGAUUAAUUUUCUUAAUUUUUAUAAAAAUUUAAUUUAGGUCAAGGUGCAGUUAUAUUGAGGUUAAUAUGGAUUACAAUUAUUAAAGUUAGUGAAUAUUCUAUUUAUUAAGGGUUGAAAUUGGAUUUAAAAGUAAAUUUAUUUUUUUAAAAUAAUUGAAUAAUGCUAUGAUUUAUGUACAUAUCGCCCGUCAUUCUCAUUUCGUGAGACAAGUCGUAACAAAGUAGAUGUAUUGGAAAAUGUAUCUAG